AAGGAAGGUGCCUGUGCAGAAGUGAAGGUAGAGAGAGUUAAUGGAGUUUGUAGAAUAGCUAAUUUUUACUAUUUGUUUAAUCUGUUACUAAGGGUCAUUUGUCAAACUGUGGCUGCUGUUCCUGUCCCUCCUUCCCUUGUUCACAGCAAUGAACAGCCUGGGAAAAAUUAUCCCCUUUCCAAAGGAUCAGCAAAGAGGAAGAGUUGAUGAUGAGGGUCCUGAGAAGUGAGGCAAUUGUGCAUGGAUCACUUCCCAGGACACAAAGGCUGUCUGCACACUCUGCACCCAGGAAAUGAGGUUAAUCAACACUUGCUCACAAGGACAGUGAAAAGAUCUUCCUCAUGAUGAUGGUAAGACCAGGAUCUUCACUGCUUGUUUCCUGAGGACAGUGGCAGCUCCACAAGACUUCAUCAGAAAUUGGUGGGGAAGUUGCUCCUCCAAGGAAUGAAGACUUGGACCUUGUACAAAACUGGCAUGUCACUCAGCCAAGGGACAGAAUAAAAGGCAAACAAAGCGGCAGCAUCUCAUACAACAUUCUCAAGGUGGAAUCUUCAAGUGAUGGGCAGCAUGGUUUGUGGGACUUCUUGCCUGGAAGCUUACCUUCAAAAAGAAGUCUGGUGUCUCUGCUUCAGGAAAGGUUUUCCUUCCAUCUGGUUCAUAGGUGGAGCCGUGUACAUCAAUACACACAUGAAUGCAGCAAGUGUGUUCGUUUACCAACCUUUGCACAGGCAAACCUUCAGGCCACUUGUUGUAAUUUUUUCUUUUCUUUG
RNAcentral lists this long non-coding RNA (770 nucleotides) under Junco hyemalis (dark-eyed junco). Its description in RNAcentral is "lncRNA (ENSJHYG00000006811.1)". Lineage: Eukaryota; Metazoa; Chordata; Aves; Passeriformes; Passerellidae. The record is from RNAcentral.